GACAGAGGAUGCAAGCGUUAUCCAGAAUGAUUGGGCGUAAAGCGUCUGUAGGUGGCUUUUCAAGUCCGUCGUCAAAUCCCAGGGCUCAACCCUGGACAGGAGGUGGAAACUACCAAGCUGGAGUACGGUAGGGGUAGAGGGAAUUUCCGGUGGAGCGGUGAAAUGCAUUGAGAUCGGAAAGAACACCAACGGCGAAAGCACUCUGCUGGGCCGACACUGACACUGAGAGACGAAAGCUAGGGGAGCGAAUGGG
RNAcentral lists this ribosomal RNA (253 nucleotides) under uncultured bacterium. RNAcentral describes it as "partial 16S ribosomal RNA". It matches the Rfam family "Bacterial small subunit ribosomal RNA", at positions 524 to 776 of the family's 1533-position model. The record is from RNAcentral.